Molecule: long non-coding RNA, 1912 nt
Organism: Patella vulgata (common limpet)
Lineage: Eukaryota; Metazoa; Mollusca; Gastropoda; Patellidae
Exons: 4
Source: RefSeq, a predicted model, not a curated record
UGAUGUCAUAAGGCGGGUCUUAACUUACGAUAAAGAGAGGAAGUCCUGACUGAACAUGAUAUAGUUAAUUAUGAGUCUAUGAAAUAAAUUAAUAUCAUUACUAUUGUCGAAUUAAUACUGGUAACUGUACAUUUUUGUUUUGUAUAAUUAUGGCACUCAGUGUUUCUCAGAUUGUCGUUCUGGUUGCUGGAAGCGUCGCAUUUCUUCUUUUAACAGUUGGAAUCUUCUACCCCCAUUGGUGGAAAUCGGUUGACAAAUCAGAUUACACCGUCCCAUUAUUCGGUGCAGUUUAUUGUAUCGACGAUGUAUGUUAUUCUGCUGUAGUUGUUCCUGUAGACUAUUACUCCGAACCAGGGUGGCUAAUGGCUGGACGUAUACUAAGUUGUUUUGGUUUGUUUUCCGUAAUAGGAGGAAUAAUAUCCCAAUUACUUAAUAUGAGAUGGCAAACGGAACUAUUUCAUAUUAUGGCCUUAGUUAUGUUUGCAACUGGGGGUUUCUUAAGUUUUAUUGUUUCGUUCGUCUUUAUCGCGAAAUUCAGUCAAAUAUCAGCGGCGUAUCAAUUAAUGAGGAUUCAAGACUCAUUAAGCUACAACUUAUUGCCCAUCUCCCUGAUGUUACUGGCCAGUAUAACGUCUAUCUUCACUGCCGUUGCGUCCGGUAUAGGCUACAAAGCGGAGAGAGAGGUGGUGGUUCUAACUUGGAAGAAAGGCUCCUAUUUAUUAUAGACUAUCUAUUGAAUAGAUUCUAUUUAUAGAUGCACAUAUUAUUGAGUGGUUUAUAUUUUAUAUAUCAUGGUUCCCCCCCCCCUCUAGCUGGCAAUAGUAAAAACAAAAUGUACUUUAAGUCGCUGAUCCCGAUCGUUCAUUUUUAGGCAGUACCAUGAAAUAUUUCACGAUUUAAUCCAUGCUAAACCCAGAUUGAAUAUUUAACAUUGAAGUAAAGAUGCAUUAUCUUAAGAGCUUAAUCUGUCUGUGCAUGUAUUUCUUUUUUGUAUCAAAUGUUUUAUAAACUAUUAUUUAGACACUUACAAUCAACUCUCUAGACAAUUGGAUAGCCGAGAUGCAAUUUAAUAAUGUAAUUUUAAAAUGGUUUGGCAAACACUUGCUACGUUAAUAAACAAUCUUAUGAAAACUUCAAACACUGAUAAUUCGAUCAGAAUACAGUAAUUCGAACGAACUGUUCAAUAUAUUCAUUUUUCGUUAUCUAUUAUAGCAAGAACGGUCAGCUUUUAUUUUAUCUAAAUCUUGCAUAUUGAAUCGUUAAAGUCCGGCCCACACCGCCACGACUUGCCCAGACUCUACCCAACGCAACGUCUUGUCUCAGAUAAUCAGUGCAGUGUUUUACAAUCCCACGACCACGAUUCAAUCGAUUUCCGUCGCGUCGUGGCCCGUCGGCCCGACUGAGCAUGUUCAGUCGUAGUCGGAUGCAGUUGGAUGCAGUCGUAACCCAUCGUGUUUGCGUGGACACUCACACGACAAGAUCAAUUGUCUUACUGUUGUUUAGCCAAUCAGAGAGUAGCAUUUAGUCAUGUGACUGUGCAGGUCAUGUGCUCCUUGUUUUCCCGGGACAAUUCAAGAUGGCAGAUUUUUGUACAGAAGAGAGAGGGAAGUGGCGUAACUCACGACGCAUAAUCUGUGAGAGUCGGGUCUGUGUGGACUGGUACCGUCGUAGGCAAGUGAAGUAAAGACGCGACCCGAUUUUUUUUACAACUACCCAAGACGCUGAGUCCUGUCGGGUUGUGUGUAGUCGUAGCGGUAUUGGCCGGGCAAACCAAAGCCAAAUUAUAAACCUGUAGGUGAUCUCCCAACUUCGAUUCAAUUGGAUUAAAUCGAUUUUAUCAAAAACUUACCUGUGCCGUUUGCUUUUUUAUAUAGUAUGUAAUCUUAUUGAAAUACAGAUUUAUAUUUCGUUU